This 436-nucleotide ribosomal RNA is filed under the name uncultured bacterium. RNAcentral's name for it is "bacterial SSU rRNA". It matches the Rfam family "Bacterial small subunit ribosomal RNA", at positions 968 to 1397 of the family's 1533-position model. The record is from RNAcentral.
ACCUUACCAGGGAUUGACAUGUAACUGAAGGUAGAGAAAUCUACUGGCCUGCUGCAAAGCGGGAGGUUACACAGGUGGUGCACGGCCGUCGUCAGCUCGUGCCGUGAGGUGUUGGGUUAAGUCCCGCAACGAGCGCAACCCCUACGAUUAGUUACUAACGCGGAAAGGCGAGGACUCUAAUCGGACUGCCGCCGACGAGGCGGAGGAAGGAGGGGAUGACGUCAGGUAAGCGUGCCCCUUAUACUCUGGGCGACACACGUGCUACAAUGGAGGGGACAAAGGGAAGCGAAGCCGAGAGGUGGAGCGGAUCCUAAAAAAACUCUCCGAAAUACGGAUUGUAGGCUGCAACCCGCCUACAUGAAGUCGGAAUCGCUAGUAAUCGCAGGUCAGCCAAACUGCGGUGAAUACGUUCCCGGGCCUUGCACACACCGCCCGU